This is a long non-coding RNA of Herpailurus yagouaroundi (jaguarundi), 1064 nucleotides long. RefSeq lists it as uncharacterized. NCBI's taxonomy places the organism in Eukaryota, Metazoa, Chordata, Mammalia, Carnivora, Felidae. The record is from RefSeq and is a predicted model, not a curated record. The transcript is spliced from 3 exons.
CUCUGUCUCUCUCUCUCUCAAAAAUACAAGUAAACAUUUAAAAACAUUUAAAAACUAAAACCAUCCUCGCUUGCACUCUAGUGACAAGGAAUGUUGCUUCAAUUUACUUAACGCUUGGAGCUCAGCCACCAGUUGCUUCAAACUUUAAGUAGCUGCAAGUUAUAAAAACCGUCUGCUCAAGUACAAAGUCAGCACCCAGACAAAACCAUCUUCAGAGAUGAAACCAACCAACCAAAGACAAAAGGAUAUGGCCUAAAAUCAAAAAGUGCUGGAGCACAUGCUUAUGCUGACUCCUAAGGAAUUCAGUGAUUUAUCGGAUGAAUCUUCACUCACCCAACGGCAUCGGAAUCCAGAGGCAACCUGACGGAAGGGCCAGGUGGGCAAGAAAGAGCACUGGUUAGGAGUCAGGAGUACAUUGGAGACCCUGUAUUGCGUCUAGCCACGCACAACCUUGGGUCCGUCGGAAGGAUUUGCGAGGGGACCCCGAGGAAGCUGCCCCUUGAAUUCAGAGACCCAGAUGAUGACUGGAGCGGUCCACUGCAGCUCCCUGACCAUCAGCCUUCCUCUGCCACUCUCGCUGCUGUCUGUCCGCGGCCUGCCUCCAGCCUGGCAGCACAGCCAUGAGCUUUCCAAUGGUACAACGAAGCAUUGAUACGGUUUUCCGGACGAUCGGGAAAAGGGUAAGUUAUUGUAUUGCCCCCAAACCCAGUGAGCCACACGACCACCUGUGAAGCCUCAUGCAGAUUAUUGGAGACCACGUCAAGGCUCUUGAGUUUCAGUCUUCUGUGGAGGGGCCUGGAAAUCUGCAUUUUAAAUAAAUGCUCUCAGAGAAGCUGAUGAUUGAGACUGGGAAACAAGGACUUAAGACAUUUAACAUUUCUAGAGAAAUUUGUGGACAAAUCAAAUACUUGAAGUUACAUCCCCGAGGGAUUUUAAUGUGUCUAUUAGUUCUACCACCUUUUUUUCUACAACCUACGUAAGGUAACUUUGAGAGGUGCGUAGAACACAGUGAUUUUUUUUUAACUGAAAUAAGAGAAAUGAAACAGAUUAGAUUUAAAAAGAAG